CUAUGCGCCUUGCCAGCCCGCUCAGUCAGAGUUUGAUCCUGGCUCAGAACGAACGUUAGCGGCGCGCCUAAGACAUGCAAGUCGAGCGAGAAAGGGCUUCGGCCCCGGUAAAGCGGCGCACGGGUGAGUAACACGUAGGUCAUCAACCCCCGAGUGGUGGAUAACUCUCCGAAAGGAGAGCUAAUACAGCAUGACGGCAGCAAUGUCCAAAGCGGGCCUCUUCAUGAAAGCUCGCGCUUGGGGAUGAGCCUGCGGCCCAUCAGGUAGUUGGCGGAGUAACAGCCCACCAAGCCUAAGACGGUAGCUGGUCUGAGAGGAUGAACAGCCACACUGGAACUGAGACACGGUCCAG
Molecule: ribosomal RNA, 352 nt
Filed under: uncultured bacterium
Lineage: Bacteria
Description: bacterial SSU rRNA
Rfam family: Bacterial small subunit ribosomal RNA
Source: RNAcentral